This 1372-nucleotide ribosomal RNA is filed under the name uncultured bacterium. RNAcentral's name for it is "bacterial SSU rRNA". It matches the Rfam family "Bacterial small subunit ribosomal RNA", at positions 28 to 1381 of the family's 1533-position model. The record is from RNAcentral.
GAUGAACGCUGGCGGCGUGCCUAAUACAUGCAAGUCGAGCGAACGGACGAGAAGCUUGCUUCUCUGAUGUUAGCGGCGGACGGGUGAGUAACACGUGGAUAACCUACCUAUAAGACUGGGAUAACUUCGGGAAACCGGAGCUAAUACCGGAUAAUAUUUUGAACCGCAUGGUUCAAAAGUGAAAGACGGUCUUGCUGUCACUUAUAGAUGGAUCCGCGCUGCAUUAGCUAGUUGGUAAGGUAACGGCUUACCAAGGCAACGAUGCGUAGCCGACCUGAGAGGGUGAUCGGCCACACUGGAACUGAGACACGGUCCAGACUCCUACGGGAGGCAGCAGUAGGGAAUCUUCCGCAAUGGGCGAAAGCCUGACGGAGCAACGCCGCGUGAGUGAUGAAGGUCUUCGGAUCGUAAAACUCUGUUAUUAGGGAAGAACAUAUGUGUAAGUAACUGUGCACAUCUUGACGGUACCUAAUCAGAAAGCCACGGCUAACUACGUGCCAGCAGCCGCGGUAAUACGUAGGUGGCAAGCGUUAUCCGGAAUUAUUGGGCGUAAAGCGCGCGUAGGCGGUUUUUUAAGUCUGAUGUGAAAGCCCACGGCUCAACCGUGGAGGGUCAUUGGAAACUGGAAAACUUGAGUGCAGAAGAGGAAAGUGGAAUUCCAUGUGUAGCGGUGAAAUGCGCAGAGAUAUGGAGGAACACCAGUGGCGAAGGCGACUUUCUGGUCUGUAACUGACGCUGAUGUGCGAAAGCGUGGGGAUCAAACAGGAUUAGAUACCCUGGUAGUCCACGCCGUAAACGAUGAGUGCUAAGUGUUAGGGGGUUUCCGCCCCUUAGUGCUGCAGCUAACGCAUUAAGCACUCCGCCUGGGGAGUACGACCGCAAGGUUGAAACUCAAAGGAAUUGACGGGGACCCGCACAAGCGGUGGAGCAUGUGGUUUAAUUCGAAGCAACGCGAAGAACCUUACCAAAUCUUGACAUCCUUUGACAACUCUAGAGAUAGAGCCUUCCCCUUCGGGGGACAAAGUGACAGGUGGUGCAUGGUUGUCGUCAGCUCGUGUCGUGAGAUGUUGGGUUAAGUCCCGCAACGAGCGCAACCCUUAAGCUUAGUUGCCAUCAUUAAGUUGGGCACUCUAAGUUGACUGCCGGUGACAAACCGGAGGAAGGUGGGGAUGACGUCAAAUCAUCAUGCCCCUUAUGAUUUGGGCUACACACGUGCUACAAUGGACAAUACAAAGGGCAGCGAAACCGCGAGGUCAAGCAAAUCCCAUAAAGUUGUUCUCAGUUCGGAUUGUAGUCUGCAACUCGACUACAUGAAGCUGGAAUCGCUAGUAAUCGUAGAUCAGCAUGCUACGGUGAAUACGUUCCCGGGUCU